RNAcentral lists this ribosomal RNA (468 nucleotides) under uncultured eukaryote. RNAcentral's name for it is "eukaryotic LSU rRNA". It matches the Rfam family "Eukaryotic large subunit ribosomal RNA", at positions 1644 to 2130 of the family's 3401-position model. The record is from RNAcentral.
GUAACAUAAGUGAGCCUGAGACGUCGGCAUGAACCCCUGGAAGAGUUAUUCUUUUCUUUUUUAACAACUACCACCCUGAAUUGGAUUAUCCAGAGCUAGGGUUAUAUGUUUGGCAGAGCAUCACACUCUAAGUGAUGUCAGGUGCGUUCAUGACGACCCUUGAAAAUCCAGGUGAGAGGAUUAUUCGCACGCCAGAUCGUACCAAUAACCGCAUCUGGUCUCCAAGGUUAGCAGCCUCUGGUCGAUAGAAUAAUGCAGAUAAGGGAAGUCGGCAAAUUAGAUCCGUAACUUCGGGAAAAGGAUUGGCUCUGAGGAUUGGGUUCGGGGGCCUUAUCAUGCAAGCUAAGGAAAUUAGAAAUUGUCUCGAAAGGGACGGAGGCUAGUUGACGAACGCUGAAUUGCUAAGGACGCUUCAUCGCUUUCCCCCGAACGUUAAACAAUUAACUCAGAACUGAAGCGGACAAGGGG